This 403-nucleotide ribosomal RNA is filed under the name uncultured bacterium. RNAcentral's name for it is "bacterial SSU rRNA". It matches the Rfam family "Bacterial small subunit ribosomal RNA", at positions 355 to 775 of the family's 1533-position model. The record is from RNAcentral.
UAGGGAAUAUUAGAAAUGGACGAAAGUCUGAUCUAGCAACACCGCGUGUGCGAAGAAGGCCUUCGGGUCGUAAAGCACUUUUUGGAAGGAAUAGGAAGGAAUGUACUUCCAGAAUAAGUCUCGGCUAACUACGUGCCAGCAGCCGCGGUAACACGUAGGAGGCAAACGUUAUCCGGAUUUACUGGGCGUAAAGCGCGUGUAGGUGGUACUGCAAGUAGGGCGUGAAAGCUCCUGGCUCAACUGGGAGAGGCCGUUCUAAACUACAGAACUUGAGGAUGGUAGAGGGAGGGGGAAUUCCAGGUGUAGCGGUGGAGUGCGCAGAUAUCUGGAGGAACACCGGUGGCGAAGGCGGCCUCCUGGACCAUUCCUGACACUCAGACGCGAAAGCUAGGGUAGCAAACGG